This 253-nucleotide ribosomal RNA is filed under the name uncultured bacterium. Its description in RNAcentral is "partial 16S ribosomal RNA". It matches the Rfam family "Bacterial small subunit ribosomal RNA", at positions 524 to 776 of the family's 1533-position model. The record is from RNAcentral.
UACGUAGGGUGCGAGCGUUAAUCGGAAUUACUGGGCGUAAAGCGUGCGCAGGCGGCUUUGCAAGACAGAUGUGAAAUCCCCGGGCUCAACCUGGGAACUGCAUUUGUGACUGCAUCGCUCGAGUGUGGCAGAGGGGGAUGGAAUUCCACGUGUAGCAGUGAAAUGCGUAGAUAUCAGGAGGAACACCGAUGGCGAAGGCAGGUCUCUGGGCUGACACUGACGCUCAUGCACGAAAGCGUGGGGAGCAAACAGG